UUUCCGUAGGUGAACCUGCGGAAGGAUCAUUCAUAAUAAGUGGUUUAUGGCACUUUUUUAAAUCCAUAUUCACCUUGUGUGCAAUGUCAGGGUCGCUUUUUCUCUCGAGAGAAGCAGCACCAAUCAUCAACUAUAUCCCUAUUCUUUUUCUUAAAAAUAUAAUGAACAUAACAAUUCAAAAUACAACUAUCAACAACGGACUUCUUGGUUCUCUCAUCGAUGAAGAACGCAGCAGAUCGGAAGACACCACGUCUGACCACCAGCCACGCAUAGUCAUCU
RNAcentral lists this unclassified non-coding RNA (279 nucleotides) under plant metagenome. RNAcentral describes it as "partial contains small subunit ribosomal RNA, internal transcribed spacer 1, and 5.8S ribosomal RNA". The record is from RNAcentral.